RNAcentral lists this ribosomal RNA (468 nucleotides) under uncultured bacterium. RNAcentral describes it as "partial 16S ribosomal RNA". It matches the Rfam family "Bacterial small subunit ribosomal RNA", at positions 28 to 507 of the family's 1533-position model. The record is from RNAcentral.
GACGAACGCUGGCGGCGUGCUUAACACAUGCAAGUCGAACGGAAAGGCCCUGCUUUUGUGGGGUGCUCGAGUGGCGAACGGGUGAGUAACACGUGAGUAACCUGCCCUUGACUUUGGGAUAACUUCAGGAAACUGGGGCUAAUACCGGAUAGGAGCUCCUGCUGCAUGGUGGGGGUUGGAAAGUUUCGGCGGCUGGGGAUGGACUCGCGGCUUAUCAGCUUGUUGGUGGGGUAGUGGCUUACCAAGGCUUUGACGGGUAGCCGGCCUGAGAGGGUGACCGGCCACAUUGGGACUGAGAUACGGCCCAGACUCCUACGGGAGGCAGCAGUGGGGAGUAUUGCACAAUGGGCGGAAGCCUGAUGCAGCAACGCCGCGUGCGGGAUGACGGCCUUCGGGUUGUAAACCGCUUUCGCCUGUGACGAAGCGUGAGUGACGGUAAUGGGUAAAGAAGCACCGGCUAACUACGUG